Molecule: RNA transcript, 1020 nt
Organism: Vigna umbellata (rice bean)
Lineage: Eukaryota; Viridiplantae; Streptophyta; Magnoliopsida; Fabales; Fabaceae
Gene: FDC2
Gene name: 2Fe-2S ferredoxin-like superfamily protein
Source: RefSeq, a predicted model, not a curated record
GUGUAGAGUUUUAGUUGGAAGAAAAUCUAACGGUUGGUGGAGAACGACCGUUUGGUUCCUCACCUCACUCCCACUCUCUCACGUUAUCCCGUCACUCUGUCUGUGAGUGCUGCGUCACCUCUAAGAAGAAGAAAAAGAUGGCACUUCCCCUUCUUCCGAUUCCCAUCAUUCCACUUCCCAAGCAACAACAAUCAUUCCCUUCCAAUAUCCGCCGCAGAGCCACCACGGUGGCGGCGGAGCUCCAGACAGCGGUUGUGCGGACCGGUGGAAUCGAUUUCCAAUUUCCGUCUGUUGAUGCUCCCACUCAUAAGGUCACAGUCCACGACAGGCAGAGAGGAGUCGUUCACGAGUUUGUCGUACCUGAGGACCAGUAUAUAUUGCACACUGCUGAGUCCCAGAAUAUUACCCUUCCGUUCGCCUGCAGGCACGGUUGUUGUACUAGCUGUGCUGUACGUAUAAAGAAUGGACAGAUUAGACAACCAGAGGCGCUUGGGAUAUCUGCCGAGUUGAAAGAGAAGGGUUAUGCACUUCUUUGUGUGGGCUUCCCAACGUCUGAUGUUGAAGUGGAAACUCAAGAUGAAGAUGAGGUAAUGAGCAAGACUACAAUUGUAGUUUGAAGCAUUUUGCGAUAUGUGCAUGAGGUGUAUUGGCUUCAAUUUGGACGUUAUUUUGCCAGAGGACCAGUGGAAAGAGAUGACUAUGCCUUGGAGUUGGCCAUGGCUGAUGAGUAAGCAAUGUAAAUAUCUGACAAUUAGUGGAGCAAAGAAUGUGAAUAUUCGGUUUCCCUUCUUUUCUCCCUUUUUUUUCAUGUUUCUACUUUGUAGUCUUGUCUUGGUUUAUUCACCCCUCCCCCCCUAUAUAUAUACAUAAAGCAUCGCCCCUAAUUUUUGUUUGAAAUUGAAGAUAGUUGAUUUAGUUAGUUCAAUCAUUUUCUCUUGUCAAAUAAAUACUGUUAGACAAGUUAACAUGGCAUGUUAAGUGUAUCAAUAUGAGGCGGAGAUUAAAAUGACAUUUGAAAUA